RNAcentral lists this small RNA (895 nucleotides) under Histoplasma capsulatum. RNAcentral's name for it is "hypothetical RNA". RNAcentral also lists the same sequence under 1 other name. Lineage: Eukaryota; Fungi; Ascomycota; Eurotiomycetes; Onygenales; Ajellomycetaceae. The record is from RNAcentral.
AGAAACGAGUGUGGUUUCUAUGGCCCCAUAACCGCCAUUCCUUGGCAUCAAUUGGUAAAAAAAUUUCGGCAACUCUUGUUUCCGAAAAUACAUUCUUUUGCUCCUAAUCACUCGAGGAUAUUAUGUUACAUCUAAUGUAUAGGGUUUAGUUUUCUAUCACUACUAGUCUCAUUACUUUGUAACAUUACUCCCAAACUGUUGAUCACUCAAAAAGGUUCUGAGGAACUGGGAAAAAACAUAAAAGUAGCACAACAUAUAUACCCCAAGAUGGAUAGACGAGGGGGGGGAAAAAAAGAAAGAAAGAAAGAACAUCACCUAAGAAAUGACAUUUAUACAAUCUAAACAUAAAAUUAUUAGAAUUUACAACUUCGCCCUAGCAGUCCCCUUCUUCCCCAACGCUUCCCUGACCAUCUUCACAGCGGCAGCCGAACACCCCCACGAAGCCUGAUAUCCAAACCCGCCAUGGCCAUAGUUAUGGACAAUAAUAACAUUCCCAAUCGUUUCGGUCUCCAUCCUCACCCCUCCUUCCCUCAGUGGCCGCAAACCAACUCCGUGUCGGAUGAUAUCCAGCCCUUCGAUGCCGCGCUGUUUGCCGUUUGCAUCUUUACCAACUAGAUUCGGACAAAGAUCAACGCAUCGUUUCAUGAUGCGCACGGCUAUAGAUGGGUCUGGCUGGGAUUCCCAGUUGUUCUUUUGAUAGGUGCCGCCAAGGAUGGUGCCGCCGCCUGGGAGAAGUGAGCGAAAGGAUAAGGUAGUUGAUGAAAUUGCACAGACAUCCAAAAGAAAAGAAAAGAAAAGAUAAGAGAAACUCAGGGAGAGGAAAAGCGUUGAAUCCACUAACCGGCAGCCCUAUUCAUAAUAUAGCAAACCUCAUCGUCACCAUCAUCGGACCCGG